AUUGAACGCUGGCGGCAUGCCUUACACAUGCCAGUCGAACGGCAACACGGUAAGCUCUUGCUUGUCCGAGUGGCGAGUAAUGUAUGGGUACGUGACCAGUCUGGAGCGAUUAUUUCGCGAAGGAGCACGUAGUGCCGCAUACGAUCAUACGGCGAAAGCGCUGCAUGUCAAAGCCGGGCACCUUUGGACCUUGCGCGAUUGGAUGAGCUGAUAUCUGAUUAGAUAGUUGGCGGGGUAAAGGCCCACCAAGGCGACGAUCCGUAGCUGGUCUGAGAGGAUGAUCAGCCACACUGGAACUGAGACACGGCCCAGACUCCUACGGGAGGCAGCAGUGGGGAAUAUUGGACAAUGGGCGCAAGCCUGAUCCAGCCAUGCCGCGUGGGGGAAGAAGGCCUUCGGGUUGUAAAGCGCUUUUGUCAGGGAAGAAAAGCAGCUGGCUAAUACCCCGGAGUUAUGACGGUACCUAAAGAAUAAGCACCGGCUAACUACGUG
Molecule: ribosomal RNA, 492 nt
Filed under: uncultured bacterium
Lineage: Bacteria
Description: partial 16S ribosomal RNA
Rfam family: Bacterial small subunit ribosomal RNA
Source: RNAcentral